Molecule: ribosomal RNA, 453 nt
Filed under: Streptococcus sp. oral taxon 071
Lineage: Bacteria; Bacillati; Bacillota; Bacilli; Lactobacillales; Streptococcaceae
Description: bacterial SSU rRNA
Rfam family: Bacterial small subunit ribosomal RNA
Source: RNAcentral
GACGAACGCUGGCGGCGUGCCUAAUACAUGCAAGUAGAACGCUGAAGAGAGGAGCUUGCUCUUCUUGGAUGAGUUGCGAACGGGUGAGUAACGCGUAGGUAACCUGCCUGGUAGCGGGGGAUAACUAUUGGAAACGAUAGCUAAUACCGCAUAAAAUGGAUUAUCGCAUGAUAAUUCAUUGAAAGGUGCAAAUGCAUCACUACCAGAUGGACCUGCGUUGUAUUAGCUAGUUGGUGGGGUAACGGCUCACCAAGGCGACGAUACAUAGCCGACCUGAGAGGGUGAUCGGCCACACUGGGACUGAGACACGGCCCAGACUCCUACGGGAGGCAGCAGUAGGGAAUCUUCGGCAAUGGACGGAAGUCUGACCGAGCAACGCCGCGUGAGUGAAGAAGGUUUUCGGAUCGUAAAGCUCUGUUGUAAGAGAAGAACGAGUGUGAGAGGGAAAGUUCA